RNAcentral lists this ribosomal RNA (469 nucleotides) under uncultured bacterium. RNAcentral's name for it is "bacterial SSU rRNA". It matches the Rfam family "Bacterial small subunit ribosomal RNA", at positions 29 to 524 of the family's 1533-position model. The record is from RNAcentral.
AACGAACGCUGGCGGCAGGCCUAACACAUGCAAGUCGAACGCCGUAGCAAUACGGAGUGGCAGACGGGUGAGUAACGCGUGGGAACAUACCCCUCGGUUCGGAAUAACUCAGGGAAACUUGAGGCUAAUACCGGGAUACGUCCGAGGUUUUAAUCGACCUUGGAGAAAGAUUUAUCGCCGGAGGAUUGGCCCGCGUCUGAUUAGCUUGUUGGUGAGGUAAUGGCUCACCAAGGCGACGANCAGUAGCUGGUCUGAGAGGAUGAUCAGCCACAUUGGGACUGAGACACGGCCCAAACUCCUACGGGAGGCAGCAGUGGGGAAUAUUGGACAAUGGGCGAAAGCCUGAUCCAGCCAUGCCGCGUGAGUGAUGAAGGCCUUAGGGUGUAAAGCUCUUUUACCCGGGAAGAUAAAUGACGAUACCGGGAGAAUAAGCCCCGGCUAACUUCGUGCCAGCAGCAGCCGCCGUAAG